Molecule: non-coding RNA, 216 nt
Filed under: Trichophyton rubrum CBS 118892
Lineage: Eukaryota; Fungi; Ascomycota; Eurotiomycetes; Onygenales; Arthrodermataceae
Description: Archaeal large subunit ribosomal RNA
Rfam family: Bacterial large subunit ribosomal RNA
Source: Rfam by way of RNAcentral
AAAUAGUCCCUUCGUACGAAAGGAGUUGGGAAUGUUGACCUAUGGUUUACCUGUUGUUUAAUAUUGUUUAUAACUAAUUUACUAUCACUAAAGUAAAAAUUAUGAAUAUACACCUUAUUCAGGAAUGAUAUUGUGUAUAUGAUUGCUUAUUAAGCAUGGCAGGAAAGCUAAGUCAAUUAUAGAUAAGUGCUGAAAGCAUUUAAGCGCGAAGCUUAU